AUUGAACGCUGGCGGCAUGCCUAACACAUGCAAGUCGAGCGGAGCGUCGGACGGGUGAGUAAUGCCUAGGCAUCUGCCUGGUAGUGGUGGAUCACGUCCGGAAACGGGCGCUAAUACCGCAUACUUUCCGUUGAGCCUAGGUCGGAUUAGCUAGUUGGUGGGGUAAAGGACUACCAAGGCUACGCGCCGUAACUGGUCUGAGAGGAUGAUCAGUCACACUGGAACUGAGAAACGGUCAAGACUCCUACGGGAGGCAGCAGGGGGGAAUAUUGGACAAUGGGCGAAAGCCUGAGCCAGCCAUGCCGGGUGUGGGAAGAAGGUCUGCGGAUUGUAAAGUACUUUAAGCGGGGAGGCGUUACCCGAAGAAGAAGCAACGGCUAACUCCGUGCCAGCAGCCGCGGUAAUAC
This 407-nucleotide ribosomal RNA is filed under the name uncultured bacterium. RNAcentral describes it as "partial 16S ribosomal RNA". It matches the Rfam family "Bacterial small subunit ribosomal RNA", at positions 30 to 526 of the family's 1533-position model. The record is from RNAcentral.